GACGAACGCUGGCGGCGUGCCUAAUACAUGCAAGUCGAGCGGACAGAUGGGAGCUUGCUCCCUGAUGUUAGCGGCGGACGGGUGAGUAACACGUGGGUAACCUACCUGUAAGACUGGGAUAACUCCGGGAAACCGGGGCUAAUACCGGAUGGUUGUUUGAACCGCAUGGUUCAAACAUAAAAGGUGGCUUCGGCUACCACUUACAGAUGGACCCGCGGCGCAUUAGCUAGUUGGUGAGGUAACGGCUCACCAAGGCAACGAUGCGUAGCCGACCUGAGAGGGUGAUCGGCCACACUGGGACUGAGACACGGCCCAGACUCCUACGGGAGGCAGCAGUAGGGAAUCUUCCGCAAUGGACGAAAGUCUGACGGAGCAACGCCGCGUGAGUGAUG
Molecule: ribosomal RNA, 392 nt
Filed under: Bacillus subtilis
Lineage: Bacteria; Bacillati; Bacillota; Bacilli; Caryophanales; Bacillaceae
Description: bacterial SSU rRNA
Rfam family: Bacterial small subunit ribosomal RNA
Source: RNAcentral